AGUUUUGUGCAGUGGCAGUAUCGUAGCCAAGGAGGUUUAUCCGAGGCAUGAUUAUUGCUAAUUGAAAACAAAACAAAUUCCACAGUAAUUUUACUCAAAUAUUGA
Molecule: small nuclear RNA, 105 nt
Filed under: Mesocricetus auratus (golden hamster)
Lineage: Eukaryota; Metazoa; Chordata; Mammalia; Rodentia; Cricetidae
Description: U4 spliceosomal RNA
Rfam family: U4 spliceosomal RNA
About the family: U4 small nuclear RNA (U4 snRNA) is a component of the major U2-dependent spliceosome.
Source: Rfam by way of RNAcentral